AAGGAGUAAGAAAGAAGGGAGGGAGAGUAGCAUGUGCUUAGCAUAUAACUCUCUCUCGCUUUCUUUCUCUUUCCGGUUAAUUACAAACUCGUAUGGAUUUGUAUGAACGUGAGACAUAUCGUUGGACCGUCACUGGCCAACAAAUAUAACCCAACUUUCGACAACGGAUUUUUUGGUUCUCCCAUCGAUGAAGAACGCAGGGAAACGCGAUAGGUAAUGUGAAUUGCAGAAUUCCGUGAAUCAUGGAAUCUUUGAACGCCCCUUGCGCUUUAUGGUAUUCCGUAGAGCAUGCCUGUUUGAGUGCCGUGAAUUCUCCCAUCCCAAGCGGUUUUUAUCAAAGAAUUGUUAGGGGAAGGGGUUGAGAUGGGCGUUGUUAUAACUGCUUUUUUUUUCUAGGAAAGCUCGCCCGAAAAACAGCUAACGCCUUUGGGCCCCUUUGCAUCCGCUUUUUUGAGGGGAGAAGCGGCCAAGCGCGCUUUGAUCAUCAGGCAUAGCAUGAUACGUCAUUUGUUAUGCUGUAGGAGAGCAUUUGGUUGUGGUUAUACCGCGUGCGUCAUUUUUUUUUUUGCAAAAAGGAAAAGGAAAAA
This 587-nucleotide unclassified non-coding RNA is filed under the name fungal sp. saru-3. RNAcentral's name for it is "partial contains 18S rRNA, ITS1, 5.8S rRNA, ITS2 and 28S rRNA". The stretch from base 153 to 306 matches the Rfam family "5.8S ribosomal RNA". Lineage: Eukaryota; Fungi. The record is from RNAcentral.